CAUAAUUUGGAUCAUACUGAAAUGCAAUUUAAAAAGUUUGUUAAAAGGAUGUAGAUUCAUGCACCUCCGGGAAGAGGAUGACCCGCGGUGAGUAGCCUCUGAUCUGCCGUGCGAAGUUAGCUAGCGGGGGUCGGGUCCCAAGGGGUAGAGAUGCAGUUCUCUAGAGUUACUGGGAAGAAGAAGAUAUGUACUGAUUUCGUCUCGACUCGGUGCAACGACUCCACGAUUGAUUCGAUCCAAUUUUCCGAGCCCAGACCAAAAUAUUUGUUGAACAACUUGCCUCAAGUAUAUUGGGACCCUUUGUGAUCUAUAUCAGAUCUGCAAUGGGCUGAAGAACGAGGCAGUCCUUGGAAGCAGCACGUACAUGUGAUGCCCCUCUCACUCUGGUUCUAAGG
Triticum urartu is the source of this 395-nucleotide non-coding RNA. The record is from RefSeq and is a predicted model, not a curated record. Lineage: Eukaryota; Viridiplantae; Streptophyta; Magnoliopsida; Poales; Poaceae.